AAUCUUCCGAAUACUUCUUUUUCUUUUUAUUUCUUCUUCUUUUCUUUUUGAUUUUUCUGUUUUAACUCAGAUCUGGAUGUUAUUUUGUCAUUCUUCUGUGAUUAUUAUUUGUAAAUAUUGUUAAGGCUUAUUGGGUAUGAAUAAUGAGUUUAGAAAGCGAGUAGUUUUGUGUUAUUUAUUAGAGUAAGCCAUACAAUAAUGAUUUAUUUGGGCAACAGAGAAGAAGUAAAAUUGCAGGAGAAGAAGCAGAAGUGAAGGCUGAAGCUUUACGUUUUAUU
RNAcentral lists this long non-coding RNA (278 nucleotides) under Panax ginseng (ginseng). RNAcentral describes it as "long non-coding RNA (PGIN_LNC000626)". Lineage: Eukaryota; Viridiplantae; Streptophyta; Magnoliopsida; Apiales; Araliaceae. The record is from RNAcentral.